GCACUCAUAGCUUAAUCGGAUAGAGCAUCUGGCUUCGAACCAGAGGGUUAGAGGUUCAAAUCCUCUUGAGUGCG
This 74-nucleotide transfer RNA is filed under the name Jenufa minuta. Its description in RNAcentral is "tRNA-Arg". It matches the Rfam family "tRNA". Rfam says of the family: Transfer RNA (tRNA) molecules are approximately 80 nucleotides in length. The record is from RNAcentral. Lineage: Eukaryota; Viridiplantae; Chlorophyta; Chlorophyceae.